AGUAGGUGUAACGUACCCACUAGCCUACGACGGGUACGGGUUGUGAGAGCAAGAGCCCGGAGAUGGAUUCUGAGACAUGAAUCCAGGCCCUACGGGGUGCAGCAGGCGCGAAAACUUUACAAUGCGGGCAACCGCGAUAAGGGGACCUCGAGUGCUGGGUUACAAACCUGGCUGUUGGGCUGCCUAAAAAGCAGUCUAUAGCAAGGGCCGGGCAAGACCGGUGCCAGCCGCCGCGGUAACACCGGCGGCUCGAGUGGUAACCGCUGUUAUUGGGUCUAAAGGGUCUGUAGCCUGCCGGCUAAGUCUCUUGGGAAAUCUGGCAUCUCAAGUGUCAGGCUGCCAGGGGAUACUGGUCAGCUUGGGACCGGGAGAGGUGAGAGGUACCUCAGGGGUAGGGGUGAAAUCUUGUAAUCCUUGAGGGACCACCAGUGGCGAAGGCGUCUCACCAGAACGGAUCCGACGGCAAGGGACGAAAGCUAGGGGCACGAACCGGAUUAGAU
RNAcentral lists this ribosomal RNA (500 nucleotides) under uncultured microorganism. RNAcentral describes it as "bacterial SSU rRNA". It matches the Rfam family "Archaeal small subunit ribosomal RNA", at positions 234 to 734 of the family's 1478-position model. The record is from RNAcentral.